AUGGCUGUGAGCCUGUGACUGCGAAGUGCGAACCCUGAAGUGUAUUUCUUGAUCGGUUUGUUGAAGUUUGUGCUGUAGUUCGUGCUGUGUGCAGGGGAAAUGGCUUCUAAAUGAGGUAAACGCAUGUUCAUUUUGCAACUGUUCGAAGAAUACAGGGGCUUACUAGCCAUGUGCUGCGUUAUAUCAAGUGAUUAUAGUAACAGCCGAAAGAAAAGAGAACAAUAUAAUUAGUUAUUGGCGUAAUACAGGGAAAUGCACCCCGAAGCGACAAGUUCCAGCUAGUGAAGAAAUUAAAUCCGUUGCAGAUAAAUUACGGACCAUAACUUAGAAGAGUUAUGAAUCCAUCGAAAACCGGAGCUGGUACUGACGAGCUACAGGAACGAACACUGUGGUACUUCGAUGUAUUGACCUGUUUGAAAGAACACGAAACCCCCUUCCAAUUCAUUAAGCUCCAUUAACAUAACCACGUGGAUGAGGCGAAGCAGAAGAUGAAGAGAGACGUGAUGUAUGUGUGCCCGAGCAAAACAUUAUCAUGCUUCAUAUGUACAUAAAGAAGAUACCUCUUAGAUAUGAUGCAAAUGCAAUAACACAAGCUGCAGAUGUUUUUUUUUUUUUUUUUUUUAAUUCCUUAUGAAACAUUGAGAUGUUCAUGUGAAAAUCCUGUUAAAGUCAAAGGCUGUGGGAAAACAACAGUGCUGUCAGAAGAGGAGGAAAAGUAUAUAGUAGAGGCUCUAGUGUUUACAGCAAAGUGUGGAUAUCUGUGAGACAGAAAAGAUUUACAAUUUAUGGUGUGUAGUUACAUACAUUCAGUGGGUAGGAAGACACCAUUUAAGGACGAUAAUGCUAUGCCAGGCUGUGUCUUUAUUGUAUGUUUCGAAAAAAGAUUGCGAAAACCUGAACUAUUGACAAGAGCAAGGGCUGAAGGAUUGUCUAAUUUUGUAGCAGAUGAGUUUUGUAGGAUGUUUGUCCCUAAAAGUGCAAGGGUAACCUAUUCAAGAUCAGGGGAUGCAGGAAUAUCAUAUAGCCUAUAAUAAUGUUACAUUAUGGGUUCUGAUUAUUGUGUAUAAUACUGUCUUUUUCAUAGAGUUUUGUUUACAGUGUAAAAAAAUCCAUUUAAUAUGUAAUAUUGUGUAGUUUAAUUAUUUAUUGUGCUUAAGAUGGUCCAUUGUGUAAAGUGUAAUAUAAACAUUAAGAAACAAGUUUCACGUA
Long non-coding RNA from Schistocerca americana (American grasshopper), 1209 nucleotides. RefSeq lists it as uncharacterized. The transcript has 2 exons. Lineage: Eukaryota; Metazoa; Arthropoda; Insecta; Orthoptera; Acrididae. The record is from RefSeq and is a predicted model, not a curated record.